Molecule: ribosomal RNA, 769 nt
Filed under: Pseudomonas sp.
Lineage: Bacteria; Pseudomonadati; Pseudomonadota; Gammaproteobacteria; Pseudomonadales; Pseudomonadaceae
Description: bacterial SSU rRNA
Rfam family: Bacterial small subunit ribosomal RNA
Source: RNAcentral
GGCCUAACACAUGCAAGUCGAGCGGUAGAGAGAAGCUUGCUUCUCUUGAGAGCGGCGGACGGGUGAGUAAUGCCUAGGAAUCUGCCUGGUAGUGGGGGAUAACGUUCGGAAACGGACGCUAAUACCGCAUACGUCCUACGGGAGAAAGCAGGGGACCUUCGGGCCUUGCGCUAUCAGAUGAGCCUAGGUCGGAUUAGCUAGUUGGUGGGGUAAUGGCUCACCAAGGCGACGAUCCGUAACUGGUCUGAGAGGAUGAUCAGUCACACUGGAACUGAGACACGGUCCAGACUCCUACGGGAGGCAGCAGUGGGGAAUAUUGGACAAUGGGCGAAAGCCUGAUCCAGCCAUGCCGCGUGUGUGAAGAAGGUCUUCGGAUUGUAAAGCACUUUAAGUUGGGAGGAAGGGUUGUAGAUUAAUACUCUGCAAUUUUGACGUUACCGACAGAAUAAGCACCGGCUAACUCUGUGCCAGCAGCCGCGGUAAUACAGAGGGUGCAAGCGUUAAUCGGAAUUACUGGGCGUAAAGCGCGCGUAGGUGGUUUGUUAAGUUGGAUGUGAAAUCCCCGGGCUCAACCUGGGAACUGCAUUCAAAACUGACUGACUAGAGUAUGGUAGAGGGUGGUGGAAUUUCCUGUGUAGCGGUGAAAUGCGUAGAUAUAGGAAGGAACACCAGUGGCGAAGGCGACCACCUGGACUAAUACUGACACUGAGGUGCGAAAGCGUGGGGAGCAAACAGGAUUAGAUACCCUGGUAGUCCACGCCGUAAACGA